AGCCCACGUUCCGCUGUUCGCACUUCGCAGUCUCAUCACCACUCCGCCCAAUGACGAGGGUCACCUCGUCGCCGGCGUCUCAUCCUCUCCUCCCCCUCCCCGAAACCCAACCGAAUCCCAGGCUCGGCGGGAGAAGCGCCGGAGCCCGAGAAGAAGCGGCGUGAGCGCCUUCUCCAUUCGCUUCUCCGACCCCAUGGAGCAACCGGAAUGCGCUCGCUCGUCUCGGUCGCUCCAGUCGUCGAGCGGCGAUCCUCCCCAACGUUGGUAGCUUCUUUAGGGGGACCACUAGACCAGAAAGCAAUGUGGCAACUUUAUAGCCCGGUGUUUCCUCUACACAAUAAGGUCACUCUAUUAUUUCGUUUUCAUCUAGGAAUGGAAGUUAUAAUUUAAAAAAACUGAAGGAUGUCUCACAGAUUUAAUUUAUAGCUGUAUCCUGUAUUUCUGUGGGCCGGUGGGCCCACACAGAAGAUACCACUGGUCGAGCAUUAUAUAUUGUCAAGCAGUGGGGCAGGUAACAGUGUCCAUCUACUUGAUUUCCUGUAGAAGUCUCACCACACUGACUAAUGUGAUCAAGUGGGGCCCACAGAAAGUUACAUGAUGUCAGAUACUUAACUUGAGGCGCUGUUGGGCAGAUAACAACCGUCCAACUGCUUAACCUGCAUCAAAAUAGGUGCAGUCACAUAUUAGAGUGGGGUCCCUCCCCCUCUCUCUAAGGUGCUUUGCAUUUGAUUCUCAGAUAUGCAUAUUUAAAUUAAUUCUGGAUAGUUUAAUCUUCAACAUAUUAAGCAUAAAACUGUGCUAGUAUGUAAUAUUAUUCUUCUCAGUUGCUGCAAUGAUGUUAAAUCCAAAAGGUAGGAAAAUGAUGAAAAUUCAGUUGAAAGAGGUGAGGUAGUAGGCAUUAUGGUAAUUAAGGCUAUUGAACCAGAAUGUCUGAUCCAAGGAAAAGAAUAUCAGCUUAUUGUAUUUUAACCUACUAAAUGCGCAUAGCAUGCACUUGGCACAGCUGGGACUUGAUGCAGAUGUUAGAUUUUGGUAGUUUAUAUGACACCAAUUGCAAUUGGUUUGGGAACGAUUUAAACAUCUGUUGAGUUGAUCUUGGUUUAUUACAAGAUGCAUUAAUCUACUAUGAGUCCCUGUGCACAUUUUUCCUUGUAAAAUUUGACCUUACUACUAAGCAUGGAUGUCAUGUACCAAAGCACAAGCCUGCUACAUGAGAUACAUGCAUCACCGCUUCGUUGUAAAUGAUGUGUGGCUUAGCAUCUUUGAAAUUAGGCAAACAUUUUCUCAGCAAAAAGGAAAAUGAUUUCAUCAAAGGCUUACAUCUUUUUGCUAAGUUCACAACAAUUAUUUUGCCAAACUCAAACAUGUUACAUUAGCAAUAGUGAAUCUUCCUUAAUUACUUUUCUAUCAUCUUGUGUUUUUCCAUUGACAUAGAUUUAACUAAUCACCUGGCUUGUUUCGUUGCCAAGAGGUGCUGGUGAAACAUUUACAACCAGUAUAAGAUGACAUGGGUUAUGUGACCGUUCAUGUUAAGAUCAAAUGCAUCAAAGUGCAAAAGUAUAUGUGUAUCGUCAGGUACUCAGCUAUAUUUCUUCUUUGGAAUAAUUGAGCAAAUUUUGUAGUACCAUAAGAAUCGGAGUUGUUUGCUUAUCAUGUUAUUGUAACAAUAAAGUUCAAAGAUCUGUAUAUGUCUUAAAUGAUAUUUUUGCAACAGGAGGUUAUGUAAAGGGUUACCCACCAAAACAACAUGCAUCUUUUGCCUCUGGUAUAUCUGUCACCAACCUGUAGAGCCAAGAAGAAAAUAAGCAAGGCCCCACCUUUAGAUCUUUGAUCAGCAUCAGAACUACUCAUGCACAAUGCAAAUUAUUAAGUACGUAACUUCUUUUUGCUGAAAAAAGUUAAGAACGUAACUGUGUAGGUCAUAUAUGAAUUAAAAACAAUAAUAUUCAGGUAAGAGGUUAACUUUGGUGUUUCUAUUAAGGACAAAUGAGCUACACGUACACAGAUCACACUAAUAAAAACUAUUGUAUGAAUUGUUGAUAUAUAUUAUGGUGCCACAUUCUUAUUAGCUAGUAGCAGCCUAGAAUUUAAUCAAUUGACCAAACAAAAAACUUCAUUGCAGCGGACGACCAUCAUGUUGCUUUGGACCAUCCUAUUAAAGGUUAAUUUUAUGUUCGUAUAAUCAGUUGCAAUGAUUCUUCAUAUCUUCUGCUAGCUUGAUCGGCUUCUAGAUAUUCUUAGCUACAAAAUCUCAUAUUUUAUAUAUCUUCUAGAUAUUCCUAGCCACAAUUCUCAAGCUUAUACAUUCAAAUAGUAGUCAUCUUGUCUUCUGACAAAUUAAACAACCAUAAUUUUCAAUUGAGCAUUAGCAGUACACGAUGGUUUUCUUGAACUCUAGUCUAAGCAUUGUCAGCCUUUUCUCUCAUAGAUUCAGACUAUCACUUUGCAUGCAUGCAUAUUUGAUGUUUUUCAUGCCAAUCUUGUAAUUAAUGCUUUAUUCGAUAAAAUAUUUUUUAUGACAGUACCUUGUUAUGUUCAAUGAUUGUGGCAACUGAGAAUGAUGUCCCUAAAGUAGUCAGGUAGAAAAUAAAAUAAAUUCCAAUAUUGCUUAUUUUAUUUCCAAGCUACACAAUAUCAAUUUAACUGGUAAGUGGUAACUAAUGAAUUCUGUCAACAAAUGACGAUGUGAACAAAGAGACUUGGGUUAAGGGAACUACGGUGAUAGAAAAUAAUUAGGCUAUCACAGAAACUGUGCUUUCUUACCCAAUAGUACAAAACAAGAGUUCUUCAGAUGUUGAUGGAUGGAAAAGAAACACCCCCCUCCUUUUUCGAGAGGGCUGCAUUCCAAUCCUGCAGGUUGUCUAGGUAAGGGGUUCUUGAACUAUAAGCAUAACAAAAAAAAAAAAGUGGCAAGUAGUAUUCAUUGGUUUUUUCGCGAAAUGUGGCAUUGUUGUGAGUUUAAGAAUAAUGCAAUGCAACACUGUGCUUAAAUAAUAAAUAUAAUAAGCUCACCAAUGCAAAUAUUCCCUGUACUCUGGUUUGCUUGGACUUGGUGCGUCAGGAUCCACCAUAACCUUAUAAGAGGUAACUUUGUAUUUUAGUAUUUAGAUAUAGAUAGGACCAGUUAUACGUUUAUAAAAUAGCUGUGACUUAACUCUACAGAGCAAAUAUAUUAAAAAGAGAGAGAAUACUUUUGGUGGAAAUUUACUGUAUGAUGUGAUCUUUUGACGUUAGAGACCAUAAAAAAAGUUGUGACAAAACCCAAGUUCUUAAGUGUGGAUGCUUGUGUAUACAGUGUGCCACGAAUGUACUAUGUGCCUGUGAGCAAGAUAGGAAGAAAGGGGUGUGGAAGCUAUUUAUCUUGUGUCAUCUACUUCUCUUAGUUUUCUACCAUGGGUUUUGGGCUUGAAAUAUGGUUACGGGAUAUUCCUUGGGCAGUACAGUUAUUUAUCUAUGUCCAUGUCUAGUCAGUUCAGAAGAUGUUCAAAGGCAGCAAGUAUACAAACUUAAUGUGAGAGAUCUCCAAGCAACGCAUACACAUGUAAGGCCUUAUCCUAUCCAGUAUCCUUGCACAGUUGUACCACAGAGUACAAACAAGAUAGGGUGCAGAGGCAUAUUCUAAAGUAGCAUGUAGGAUAUAUGUACUUGAUCAUAAGCAAAAGGAUGCUAUGUGUUCGUUGUGCAGUAGAUGGAUCCUCUUCUUUGUUCUCACUACAAUAUUCUGUGCAACCUAUUCAACAAUCCCUAAUAGUUGUUUGGUCAAAAGUCGUAUGUGGACCUAUAUUUGUGCAGGUCAUAUCGCUUGUUUUUCGUGAAACAGCAUUUUUGCAUUUUGUGUGUGUGUGUAUUUUUUUAAAAAAAAAUUGAAACAUAGGUUGCUUUGAGCAUGGAGUUUGUCAUAUAAGUUGGUAUUUGAUGUGCGUGGAUCACCCUAAGAACUCCAUUGGUUACUCUAGGCAUUACCUCUUCUCACAUGAGAGUAAUUUUUUUAGUUGAAGCUUUGAAUGGAUCAAAAUCAUGUUUCACCUUACCUAAUGCAAUGCGGAAAAUACCUGCACACAACUCCUACAAGCUAUUAUGAUCACUUACAAGUGUGUAGAGCUUCGUUUGGUCAUGACCUUCAAUCUCAACAUGCGGUACAUUGAACACUGCAGAUGAUCGUAGCCCGGUGCCAUUUGUGAUCUCCUUCUCACCAUAAUUAACCCUCAUUGCAGCUGACUUUACAAAAGGAUCCAAUACAUCACCGAUUACCUGGCUCAAUGCCAAAGGAUCCCUCCCUCGCGACAUAUUUCAGUAUUAUUUUUGAGCUGAUGGCUAUAGAAGACAAACUUUGUUGAUCCUCGGUUCACAACGGGAUGGGAAUACAGUGUGGUGGAAGUGCUAUCUAAUGAUAUUUCCGUGGGAAGAACAGAGCAGUUCGUCAUAAAUUUAUAUUAGUUGUGAAGCAUCCACUUUAUGUUCAUAACAUUCCAUUGAGCACUAUAAGAAGAUAGAAUCUUACUUUCACAUAAUAUUAUUAUUUUCUGUUAUAGUUGCUUCUUUGUUGCAUGGACAUGUAGAGUACCUAUCAACCUCCAGAUGGCCCAGUUGUAGUUGAAGCUGUACGAUCUUUUUGAAUGAUAUCUAUCGUCAGUUUUUCAUGCAUAUAUUCUCCAAAGAUUUGGAGGUAUGUUUAAAGCUCCAAGAGUUAGCCUCCCCUGCAUGGCGCCUUGCCUAGGCUUGGCCAAAGAUUCACGAUGAGUCAUUUCAUGUUCAACUUACUUCUCUGAGUGGUGAGCACUCAGUUGGAGAAAUAUUCUUUGGAUCAACAUCACAAUGCAAGAGUAUGAAACCUGGGGAGGUAGUGGCGGGUCAUUAGCAAUCGUCUUCUUUCUCUUUAUUUGCUUUUGCUUGAUGGCAAUAGAAGUAUCUAGUACUUCACCCUUGAGGGAAAACUAUUCCCUGGUCCUGUUCUAUGAGGGUUCGUGUGCUUAUCUCCCAUGGUCCUCAUAAAUGCGAGCUGAAUAUUAAGUUUCUUAGUGUAUUUUCUAUGGUAUGUAUAUGCUUCACCACUUGCCUAUUGAAGCUUCCCAUAGAGUGAUCUGGACAUGGCAAAUUGCCAUUGCAAAGUAUGCUUGUCUUAAAAAACUACAUAACACUAACGGGUUGAUUCCACCUGACUUUUCCUGUUAUGUUUCAGUGUCAUAGUUCCGAUUUUGAUCUUCUAAUGUCUAUUUUCAUUUUCAUACGAUCGUCAUGUAUUUAUGUGUAGCUACUUCUUUCCUUUAACAGAAUGCAGUUGUAUGCCUGUACAGGAUUAUUCAGACCAAACAGGAACCAGAGAAGCAUCUCCAUGCCUGUAUAGUAGCAUCAAUGUCUUGAUAUCAUCAGAUGGACUUAUGAUUCCUCAUGGCAUUUAAAAUCUUGCCGCAUGCAGAAAUUACACUUUUGAUGGUGCGAAUGAGCGGGCAUUUAGAAUUUUCAAGAACCGGAGGAUAGAGUACUAUCGUGAGCUUGCAUUCAAGUUGUUCGAGCAAGAACACCACAUGCUGCCUCGGCUCUCCACAUACGCGUCAAGAUCUGCGACUGCUGUAAAGGAUCCACACAGAUUUGAUUUUUUUUUCAGCAGGGAAUAAAAGGUUCAGCCUUGAAGAUCAGAUGGGCAUCUCUACCAGUACGUAGCAAGCAGAAAGGCAGAAGAUCGGCUUUGAAUUUGUGAAAGUUCUUACAUGGCAAUCGCAAGGGGGAAAAGGCACCAGGGAACCCCCCCGCACUGCAAACAGCCUACACCCAGCUUCUGUGGAUGAACUCUUUGCAGUCUUGCCGUGCCGACCGUUGGUGCCGCCUGUGCUCUCUCCAGACUUUUUGUGAGCCAGCUGGAAAUAGUGCUAAAGUUGGAUCUAUUCCAGCUAAUGGCUAAUGCUGGAGUCCUGGGGCCCUAUGCUUGCCGUCUGCCAAAGUACUUGCUAUGAGUUUGCAAGUUUGACUUUUGGCAUUGAAUCGGAUGAUUGGCAUCACCAAUUUCUCAAGUCAACUCUUCCAGUUUGAACAAUGUGCGAUGGUUCUAGAGAAUCUCCAGCUGAAACAAACAUGCCCUUAGACUGGUGGCCGGAAACAAAUCUCAAACGGAAUAGAUUGGUGAGGAUUAUUUGGGAAUCACUCCAAUGAAGACGAGGUGAAAGUCUGCAGUACACAGCGAAGUGAAUUGCAGCAGUCCAGAUGCCUACAUUACACGGUCCGUAGAGGGCAGAUGAAGCGCCAACAGCACAAGCUGAUGUUUGAUAAAUUGUGGAUUUGACCAAGAAGACACGGUCUGGCCUAGUUUCCAUGCAGAGCUGCUGGGAGCCGUUGGUUUGGCCCAACGACGCACCUUCUUUUGGGUACCCCAAAAUCAUGUUACAGAAUGGGCCUGCUUGCAGGAUCAGGACUGAGAUGACAAAACAACGUUCGUGAUCCUCUAAAAAAAACAACGUUCGUGAGGCAAAGUAUGAUGUCUAGUCUCGUGUAUUGGUUCCUCUACCCUUUUUUUUUUUUUGUCUCGUGUAUUGGUUGUGCAUUUAAUGGAACGCAUGCUAUUCAGAAGAACUCAAGAAAAUUGUACCCGAGCAAUUCCUACAAGUUCCACUGGUAAUUUCAAGUUCUUGUAUUACUUGUUCCUCCACCAGCAGGGGGAAUCAUCAGCUAAUUUUUGUUUGAGGGCUCUG
Molecule: long non-coding RNA, 6683 nt
Organism: Phragmites australis (common reed)
Lineage: Eukaryota; Viridiplantae; Streptophyta; Magnoliopsida; Poales; Poaceae
Exons: 5
Source: RefSeq, a predicted model, not a curated record